Molecule: ribosomal RNA, 510 nt
Filed under: Thor sp. UF 44393
Lineage: Eukaryota; Metazoa; Arthropoda; Malacostraca; Decapoda; Hippolytidae
Description: partial large subunit ribosomal RNA
Rfam family: Bacterial large subunit ribosomal RNA
Source: RNAcentral
AUUAAUAGGAAAUAAGACCUGCCCAUUGAAUAAUUUUGAAUGGCCGCGGUACUUUGACCGUGCAAAGGUAGCAUAAUCAUUUGUCUUUUAAUUGGGGGCUGGAAUGAAAGGUUAAACGAAAAAUAAGCUGUUUCGGUUUAAUAAAUUGAAAUUCACUUUUAAGUGAGAAGGCUUAAAUAAUUUAAAGGGACGAUAAGACCCUAUAAAACUUUAUAGUAUUUUAUAUGUAUUGAUUUUGAUAGUUUAAUAUGAACUAUAGUAAGAUUGUUUUGUUGGGGCGACACCUAUAUAAAUAUAAAGUAACUGUAGGUUAAAAUAUAAUAAUGAUGGUUAGUGAAAUGAUCCUUUAGUAGUGAUUAUUAGAAAAAGUUACUUUAGGGAUAACAGCGUAAUUUCUUCGGAGAGUUCUUAUUGAUGAAGUUAGUUGCGACCUCGAUGUUGAAUUAAGAUUUCUUUUAAAUGUAGCAGUUUAAAAAGUUGGUCUGUUCGACCAUUAAAAUCUUACAUGAU